GUACCUGUGAGCCCCUUGAGCUCGCUGCUCUCUUGCUGUCUCUAGAGGCUGUGGGUAAGGCCCUCUCACAUCCUAGCUCUGUGGCUUUCGCAUUAUAAGCUUUCAGACUUUAUUUGAGCAUUUCUUUUUCCAGACUGGGUCCAGAAGCUGGCCAGAGGUCCAACUUGGAAAUGGGACUGAGUCCGAUUUGGAGACUAGACUGGGUCCAGCAACAGACUGGGUCCGACUCAGAAACCGGACUAAGUCCAGUCCGGGUCUGACUUAAGCUGCACUUGGUCCCGUGUGAGACCUCAAAUGAAUAAAAUUUUCUUUGAAGGCUGAAAAAGUAGCUUAACUUAACCAAAGUUAAUCUUGAAUUACAGUGGCCACAGUGGAGAACUUUUAACCUGGAUAAGCUUAUCUCUUUAUGAGGUGCCCUAGAGAAAAAGGGCUCUCAGCCGAGCUCCCUCCGUAAAGGAUAGAGGGGAAAUUAUUUUUCCUCCUCUGAGGUUUCUGGUGACCAGGAUGAGACCCGCCGGGACAUCCCACUCACUCCAGAGCCUGCAGACAGACUCCAGCAAAGGAGCCCCACCUUGAUGAUCUGGAGGACUUUAUGCCAACGUGGUCAAACUGACUGUAAGGAAGAAGGGCUGCUUGGAGUGAAGUUAAGAAGACUUCCGCCCCAAAUCUUCAUCCUGCCAGGUAGCCCUGGUAUAUAUAAAGACCCCUUCAAAGCAAGCACUAGAGGACUACACAGAGAGUGCCCGUGUGUCAGUGAAUUUGUCCUUCAACGUGAGCCCCUGUGGAGAACUACUAUUACCAUCCACAUUGAACAGGUUAAGCCUUGCUGGCCUUCAUACUCCUUGUCUUGAUUUCAGGCUAUGCUGAAAGGUGACAGAGAGACUGUGCUUUGGUUGGAAGAAACGGUUCUAGCCCCAGAGAUAAGAAAAGACAAAAUUGUCUCUACCUCUCUUCCCAGGGAGUCAGCUCUAGUGUCACCUAGAAAACAUAAAUUAGACAUGUGAACUUUGGUCCUGAAUGUGAGAAACCAGAUCUUUUCCAAAUGAUCUGUUCAAGACUAGACUCUAAGUCUAGAAGGUAAGGCGCUCAGUAAAGCGACAGGUCAAAAAGGUAUUUCUCAAAUCAGAAAAGCAUGCAAAGACACCUACCAGAUAAACUCAGCAGGACCAAGGCACAGAGAAGAAAGAUGCCUGUUACCUUCAUGGCGAAGUUUUGUGUCCGGAGCUCAGUCAAAAUCUGCAGUGAACUUACCACUUCUCUUCAGAACCCUGGGAGUGGCGGGGUCACAUAGGCAGGAUGGCAACCCAGGCUCCACCUGCUGCCCUGUGUCACAGAGAUCCUUAGUUAUUGAUUGACUAGUACCAUAGCUUGGCCCCCAGGUUU
Molecule: long non-coding RNA, 1383 nt
Filed under: Equus caballus (horse)
Lineage: Eukaryota; Metazoa; Chordata; Mammalia; Perissodactyla; Equidae
Description: lncRNA (ENSECAG00000052031.1)
Source: RNAcentral